GGCACCCGUUUCGGGGACCUACCAGCUGGUUCUCACAACAAGAUCUUCGCAGCUGCCAUUUAUCCUGUUCUUCUUGGGUGCAGCUUAUUUUUAAUUGCUUCAGAGUUGACCUAGGCAGACUUUGGGCAGGUGUAGGCAGCAUUCGGGCUUUCAAAAUGCUUGCCUGCACAACCUUCCAUGUGCCAAGUUCCAGGAAAAUGGAUUCAGCAGCCACAGUGUGUCUGAACUGAUUGCUUACCAUCAGAAUCAUGUGUGUUUUGGACAUCUUUGAUAUCUCUACAGCUCAUCCCUCACAGCAACAUCUGAGAUCACUGUCCUUCCCAGCACUGUUCUUUGGCUCAGUUGCUUGGCUUCAGUGUGAGGUGAGCAGGAACUGGAGUGGCAUUUGGCUAACGUGCUCUGAAACACUCAGUUCAUCUCAAAGUGCUU
Long non-coding RNA from Oxyura jamaicensis (ruddy duck), 429 nucleotides. RefSeq lists it as uncharacterized. The record is from RefSeq and is a predicted model, not a curated record. Lineage: Eukaryota; Metazoa; Chordata; Aves; Anseriformes; Anatidae. The transcript has 3 exons.